AAUGGCAAAUGAUGUAAAACAAUUUUAUGCUUAAUCACUGAAUCAUUAUGUGGACUAAAACUCCGCUUAUUAUCUGAUGCCAUU
RNAcentral lists this small nucleolar RNA (84 nucleotides) under Macleaya cordata. The record is from RNAcentral. Lineage: Eukaryota; Viridiplantae; Streptophyta; Magnoliopsida; Ranunculales; Papaveraceae.